This 497-nucleotide ribosomal RNA is filed under the name uncultured bacterium. RNAcentral describes it as "partial 16S ribosomal RNA". It matches the Rfam family "Bacterial small subunit ribosomal RNA", at positions 28 to 507 of the family's 1533-position model. The record is from RNAcentral.
GAUGAACGCUGGCGGCGUGCCUAAUACAUGCAAGUCGAGCGAACAGACGAGGAGCUUGCUCCUCUGACGUUAGCGGUGGACGGGUGAGUAACACGUGGAUAACCUACCUAUAAGACUGGGAUAACUUCGGGAAACCGGAGCUAAUACCGGAUAAUAUAUUGAACCGCAUGGUUCAAUAGUGAAAGACGGUUUUGCUGUCACUUAUAGAUGGAUCCGCGCCGCAUUAGCUAGUUGGUAAGGUAACGGCUUACCAAGGCGACGAUGCGUAGCCGACCUGAGAGGGUGAUCGGCCACACUGGAACUGAGACACGGUCCAGACUCCUACGGGAGGCAGCAGUAGGGAAUCUUCCGCAAUGGGCGAAAGCCUGACGGAGCAACGCCGCGUGAGUGAUGAAGGUCUUCGGAUCGUAAAACUCUGUUAUUAGGGAAGAACAAAUGUGUAAGUAACUAUGCACGUCUUGACGGUACCUAAUCAGAAAGCCACGGCUAACUACGUG